RNAcentral lists this ribosomal RNA (162 nucleotides) under Micromonospora craniellae. RNAcentral describes it as "Verrucosispora sp. LHW63014 partial 16S ribosomal RNA". It matches the Rfam family "Bacterial small subunit ribosomal RNA", at positions 1 to 166 of the family's 1533-position model. The record is from RNAcentral. Lineage: Bacteria; Bacillati; Actinomycetota; Actinomycetes; Micromonosporales; Micromonosporaceae.
UGUUGGAGAGUUUGAUCCUGGCUCAGGACGAACGCUGGCGGCGUGCUUAACACAUGCAAGUCGAGCGGAAAGGCCCUUCGGGGUACUCGAGCGGCGAACGGGUGAGUAACACGUGAGCAACCUGCCCUAGGCUUUGGGAUAACCCUCGGAAACGGGGGCUAA